AGUGAACGCUGGCGGUAGGCCUAACACAUGCAAGUCGAACGGCAGCACAGUAAGAGCUUGCUCUUACGGGUGGCGAGUGGCGGACGGGUGAGGAAUACAUCGGAAUCUACUUUUUCGUGGGGGAUAACGUAGGGAAACUUACGCUAAUACCGCAUACGACCUACGGGUGAAAGCAGGGGAUCUUCGGACCUUGCGCGAUUGAAUGAGCCGAUGUCGGAUUAGCUAGUUGGCGGGGUAAAGGCCCACCAAGGCGACGAUCCGUAGCUGGUCUGAGAGGAUGAUCCGCCACACUGGAACUGAGACACGGUCCACACUCCUACGGGAGGCAGCAGUGGGGAAUAUUGGACAAUGGGCGCAAGCCUGAUCCAGCCAUACCGCGUGGGUGAAGAAGGCCUUCGGGUUGUAAAGCCCUUUUGUUGGUAAAGAAAAGCAGCAGGUUAAUACCCCGCUGUUCUGACGGUACCCAAAGAAUAAGCACCGGCUAACUUCGUG
RNAcentral lists this ribosomal RNA (492 nucleotides) under uncultured bacterium. Its description in RNAcentral is "partial 16S ribosomal RNA". It matches the Rfam family "Bacterial small subunit ribosomal RNA", at positions 29 to 507 of the family's 1533-position model. The record is from RNAcentral.